Molecule: ribosomal RNA, 373 nt
Filed under: uncultured bacterium
Lineage: Bacteria
Description: bacterial SSU rRNA
Rfam family: Bacterial small subunit ribosomal RNA
Source: RNAcentral
AUAACAUUUGAAACAGAUGCUAAUACCGAUAAAACUUCGUAUCGCAUGAUACAAGGUUAAAAGGCGCUACGGCGUCACCUAGAGAUGGAUCCGCGGUGCAUUAGUUAGUUGUGGGGUAAAGGCCUACCAAGACAAUGAUGCAUAGCCGAGUUGAGAGACUGAUCGGCCACAUUGGGACUGAGACACGGCCCAAACUCCUACGGGAGGCUGCAGUAGGGAAUCUUCCACAAUGGGCGAAAGCCUGAUGGAGCAACGCCGCGUGUGUGAUGAAGGCUUUCGGGUCGUAAAGCACUGUUGUAUGGGAAGAACAGCUAGAGUAGGGAAUGACUUUAGUUUGACGGUACCAUACCAGAAAGGGACGGCUAAAUACGUG